GGGCGAUUAGCUCAGCUGGUUAGAGCGCGACACUGAUAAUGUCGAGGUCGCAAGUUCAAGUCUUGCAUCGCCCACCA
RNAcentral lists this transfer RNA (77 nucleotides) under Candidatus Peregrinibacteria bacterium CG_4_9_14_3_um_filter_49_12. RNAcentral's name for it is "tRNA-Ile". It matches the Rfam family "tRNA". Rfam says of the family: Transfer RNA (tRNA) molecules are approximately 80 nucleotides in length. Their secondary structure includes four short double-helical elements and three loops (D, anti-codon, and T loops). RNAcentral also lists the same sequence under 5 other names. Lineage: Bacteria; Candidatus Peregrinibacteriota. The record is from RNAcentral.